This 253-nucleotide ribosomal RNA is filed under the name uncultured bacterium. RNAcentral's name for it is "partial 16S ribosomal RNA". It matches the Rfam family "Bacterial small subunit ribosomal RNA", at positions 524 to 776 of the family's 1533-position model. The record is from RNAcentral.
UACGUAGGGUGCAAGCGUUGUCCGGAAUUAUUGGGCGUAAAGCGCUCGUAGGCGGUUUGUCGCGUCUGCUGUGAAAACCCGAGGCUCAACCUCGGGCCUGCAGUGGGUACGGGCAGACUAGAGUGCGGUAGGGGAGAAUGGAAUUCCUGGUGUAGCGGUGGAAUGCGCAGAUAUCAGGAGGAACACCGAUGGCGAAGGCAGUUCUCUGGGCCGUAACUGACGCUGAGGAGCGAAAGCGUGGGGAGCGAACAGG